GAUGAACGCUGGCGGCGUGCCUAAUACAUGCAAGUCGAGCGAACAGACGAGGAGCUUGCUCCUCUGACGUUAGCGGCGGACGGGUGAGUAACACGUGGAUAACCUACCUAUAAGACUGGGAUAACUUCGGGAAACCGGAGCUAAUACCGGAUAAUAUAUUGAACCGCAUGGUUCAAUAGUGAAAGACGGUUUUGCUGUCACUUAUAGAUGGAUCCGCGCCGCAUUAGCUAGUUGGUAAGGUAACGGCUUACCAAGGCAACGAUGCGUAGCCGACCUGAGAGGGUGAUCGGCCACACUGGAACUGAGACACGGUCCAGACUCCGACGGGAGGCAGCAGUAGGGAAUCUUCCGCGAUGGGCGAAAGCCUGACGGAGCAACGCCGCGUGAGUGAUGAAGGUCUUCGGAUCGUAAAACGCUGUUAUUAGGGAAGAACAAAUGUGUAAGUAACUAUGCACGUCUUGACGGUACCUAAUCAGAAAGCCACGGCUAACUACGUG
Molecule: ribosomal RNA, 497 nt
Filed under: uncultured bacterium
Lineage: Bacteria
Description: partial 16S ribosomal RNA
Rfam family: Bacterial small subunit ribosomal RNA
Source: RNAcentral